AUGGCUGCACAGCCCCCUAGCGAGGCCUCGGUGAGGAGCGAAGGAUGCGAGGAGCAGCAGGUUUCCGUGGAGCGCAGACUCUUUGUUGGGAACACCUCUGCUUUUAAGAAGACUUCUGUGGUCCUUGUUUACUAUGUAGGAGGCUCGCCCGUUCCCAGGCCUCAAAGGACAGUCUGUAAAUUCUGGAAGCUUCCGGCAGCGUUGGGUUGUGGUGCCCGCGCGCUCGCUGUCCGCCCCCCUGCUGCCGUCUGCCCUUCGGGCUGUCGGAUGGUCAGGCCGGGGCAGCCUCGGGAGCGCUCCAGCAGGAGGCUAACAGCGAUCCAUUGUGGUCGACACGACCGUGCGGACGCUGUGCUACAAGCUGAGGACAGAAUUAGGGGCAGGCCCUUGCCAGGUGCUCAGCGUGCGCAGCAGGACGGGCUCCACAGGCACCAACGAUUCCGCGGUGUGUCAGCGUCCACCCGCCCCCCCAUGCCGACGCAGGCCCCCGUGUGAGCCCAGUCGUGUCUCCCGAGGCCCGGUCUCCACGGACAGUCCACGCAGGAAUCCGCCCGCAGCCGACCGUCACCCCACGGGCCUACCUCCUCUCCAGCACGCCAAGAACACCCUACGAUCUAGGGAAAAUACCACAGAACAGUGUUCUCAUCUCGGCGGAGAAAGAAACUUUAUACUUAGACAAGAUUCUUAAAAAAUUUAUUUUUUAAAAAAAAUCUAUUAACAGCGAAGGGAAAAUGUAAAACAGUGACUACGUUCAUGUUAUGAAUUUUUCUUUCUCAGAGAUGCCUCGAAGACCGUGAACAGGCAGCGUUGGGAGAAGCGGGCUACGCGCGAGGAGCACGGGGAGCACGCGGUCCCGGUGGGAGCACACGCAGGGCUCGCACGUCCACCGGUACAGAAUCAGGCCAAGCGUGGACAGGCGCUUCCUGGGGUGGCUCGCUGGGGACGACGGCACACGAUGUCCACGGCCAAUUAGGCUGUGAAAUCAGAGAGACCCGGAGGAGCACCGUCGGCCCAUCCUGCCCACUAUGCCUGAGGCCCCCAGUGCGACGCGGGGACGCUCCUUCGCCCAGGACACCACCACUCACUCUGAGCCUGAACGUCCUUAAUGUCUCAGAACCAAAGUGUGAGCGAAGAAAAGUCGCAGGGAAACUUGAUGCACGUGUGUUGACUCACAGAAAGUCGAACGCACGUGAGCUGGGGCCGUACGUGACACGGUGCACGCGCCUGUACAAUUGCGGAACCCAAGGACACGGGAAGGGCAGGUUGAGGAUGUCACUUGUUUCUGGAUGCAGGCAGGGCUGGAGGCCACGGGUCCAGGGGGUGCAGGGAAGGGGUGAGGCCAGGGGCCGGGGGGUGCAGGGAAGGGGUGAGGCCAGGGGCUGGGGAGCAGGUGUGUUGAUGGCGUCCUCUGUCCUCGGGGGCACAAGCUACAAGGGUCCCGGUUUAUCACCACAGCCCCAAGUGUGCUCUGCUUUUUAGUCAUUAAUAAGAUGUA
This 1495-nucleotide long non-coding RNA is filed under the name Vulpes vulpes (red fox). RNAcentral describes it as "lncRNA (ENSVVUG00000009324.1)". Lineage: Eukaryota; Metazoa; Chordata; Mammalia; Carnivora; Canidae. The record is from RNAcentral.